UUUCUCUUCAUCUCUGGGCAUCGGUCUGUCUCGCCCGCCCGCGCCGUUGCGCUUCUGCUCAGCCCAUCGUCGCCGUGUCGCCUCCACUCGUCGCUGUCUAAUUCCUGCCUUCGCCUCCGAAGCAUCCGCCAUCUUUAUGCGUUCAACGCCCCUCCAGCUACUCCUCAUCGCCUCCUCUCUCUCUCUUUCUCUCUCUCUCUCUACUUGGACAUGCUCUCGCGGCUUUUCGCCUGCAAGUGUACUCGUGAAAAAUUGAAACUUCGAUUGGGCUUUUGAGAGUUGCGAUACUCGAUUGUGAAGGGAAAAGGAAUUCGGUUUUUUACCCUCCCCUCGCGCAGCGCUGAAUUCUCCUAGCGACGGAAGGGAAAAAUCGAGUGAAUUGAAGCGAGGACGUUUCCAGCAUGAGUUCAGGUCUUAUUGAACGGCAACAAUUCCGGUCUUUCUCUUAGAAGCAUCAUCCGUAGUGGCAAUUCUCUUGCUUUAGGAGGCGUUUGGAGUCCUCUCAAUGCUCGAAACCCAACUAAAACAGCAGGGUUCUUGAGUUGCAAAUCAAUGUCGACGAAUUCGCCGGUGGUGCGAGUGAGGGAGAAGAUCGAUUUGACGGAGAAGGAGAAGAUGAUCUUUGAGAGGCUUCUUGCCACCGUUCGCCAUUUUGAUCUCUCCACCCAGCUGCGGGUCACUGGUGGCUGGGUCCGUGAUAAGAUGCUGUCUCCAUUCUGACUGGAUAUUUUGCGGCAAACUAGACCAGUCGAAACAUCUGGAAAGAGCGAGGAUGCGCCUCUAUGAUAUAUGGAUAGAUUUGUGAACUUAAGGUCUGAAAAGUACAAUGAGAAUAGCCACAUUCCCACCCAGAUGGCACGAGGUUCAGAUUUACGUUGGAUGAAGAGCUGAAGAGAGCUGCCACGUCCAAUGAUGUCAAAGAUGCACUUGCAGCUAAAAUCAGUGACGAGCGCACUAGUAACAGAAGCAUGAGUCUCUAACUUUCCUCUAUUGGCUGCUUUAUCUCGUAUAAUUGUUUUUUGGUGGAAGUUCUUGUACAUUUGGCCUUUAUCUUUUCUCUCAACAUCUGUAUAUGAUUUGUAUUUUCCGUUUGAAUGUUACUUCUCAUUAAUGAGAUGCGAUCAAAGUUUUUCCUCUUC
Long non-coding RNA from Eucalyptus grandis, 1139 nucleotides. RefSeq lists it as uncharacterized. The transcript has 4 exons. Lineage: Eukaryota; Viridiplantae; Streptophyta; Magnoliopsida; Myrtales; Myrtaceae. The record is from RefSeq and is a predicted model, not a curated record.